AUUGAACGCUGGCGGCAUGCCUUACACAUGCAAGUCGAACGGCAGCACGGGAGCUUGCUCCUGGUGGCGAGUGGCGAACGGGUGAGUAAUACAUCGGAACGUACCCUGAAGUGGGGGAUAACGUAGCGAAAGUUACGCUAAUACCGCAUAUUCUGUGAGCAGGAAAGAGGGGGAUCGCAAGACCUCUUGCUUUAGGAGCGGCCGAUGUCGGAUUAGCUAGUUGGUGAGGUAAAGGCUCACCAAGGCGACGAUCCGUAGCGGGUCUGAGAGGAUGAUCCGCCACACUGGGACUGAGACACGGCCCAGACUCCUACGGGAGGCAGCAGUGGGGAAUUUUGGACAAAUGGGCGCAAGCCUGAUCCAGCCAUGCCGCGUGAGUGAAGAAAGGGCCUCGGUUGGUUAAAGGUACG
RNAcentral lists this ribosomal RNA (410 nucleotides) under uncultured bacterium. RNAcentral describes it as "bacterial SSU rRNA". It matches the Rfam family "Bacterial small subunit ribosomal RNA", at positions 30 to 434 of the family's 1533-position model. The record is from RNAcentral.